RNAcentral lists this ribosomal RNA (442 nucleotides) under uncultured Magnetospirillum sp. Its description in RNAcentral is "bacterial SSU rRNA". It matches the Rfam family "Bacterial small subunit ribosomal RNA", at positions 335 to 795 of the family's 1533-position model. Lineage: Bacteria; Pseudomonadati; Pseudomonadota; Alphaproteobacteria; Rhodospirillales; Rhodospirillaceae. The record is from RNAcentral.
GCCCUACGGGCGGCAGCAGUGGGGAAUAUUGGACAAUGGGCGCAAGCCUGAUCCAGCCAUGCCGCGUGAGUGAUGAAGGCCUUAGGGUUGUAAAGCUCUUUCGACGGGGACGAUGAUGACGGUACCCGUAGAAGAAGCCCCGGCUAACUUCGUGCCAGCAGCCGCGGUAAUACGAAGGGGGCUAGCGUUGUUCGGAAUUACUGGGCGUAAAGCGCACGCAGGCGGUCUGAUCAGUCAGAAGUGAAAGCCCCGGGCUUAACCUGGUACCUGCUUUUGAGACUGUCAGGCUUGAAUCACGGAGAGGGUAGUGGAAUUCCGAGUGUAGAGGUGAAAUUCGUAGAUAUUCGGAAGAACACCAGGGGCGAAGGCGACUACCUGGCCGUCGAUUGACGCUCAUGUGCGAAAGCGUGGGGAGCAAACAGGAUUAGAUACCCUUGUAGUC